GACGAACGCUGGCGGCGUGCUUAACACAUGCGAGUCGAACGGAAAGGCCCUGCUUUUGUGGGGUGCUCGAGUGGCGAACGGGUGAGUAACACGUGAGUAACCUGCCCUUGACUUUGGGAUAACUUCAGGAAACUGGGGCUAAUACCGGAUAGGAGCUCCUGCUGCAUGGUGGGGGUUGGAAAGUUUCGGCGGUUGGGGAUGGACUCGCGGCUUAUCAGCUUGUUGGUGGGGGAGUGGCUUACCAAGGCUUUGACGGGUAGCCGGCCUGAGAGGGUGACCGGCCACAUUGGGACUGAGAUACGGCCCAGACUCCUACGGGAGGCAGCAGUGGGGAAUAUUGCACAAUGGGCGGAAGCCUGAUGCAGCAACGCCGCGUGCGGGAUGACGGCCUUCGGGUUGUAAACCGCUUUCGCCUGUGACGAAGCGUGAGUGACGGUAAUGGGUAAAGAAGCACCGGCUAACUACGUG
This 468-nucleotide ribosomal RNA is filed under the name uncultured bacterium. RNAcentral's name for it is "partial 16S ribosomal RNA". It matches the Rfam family "Bacterial small subunit ribosomal RNA", at positions 28 to 507 of the family's 1533-position model. The record is from RNAcentral.